RNAcentral lists this ribosomal RNA (492 nucleotides) under uncultured bacterium. Its description in RNAcentral is "partial 16S ribosomal RNA". It matches the Rfam family "Bacterial small subunit ribosomal RNA", at positions 29 to 507 of the family's 1533-position model. The record is from RNAcentral.
AGUGAACGCUGGCGGUAGGCCUAACACAUGCAAGUCGAACGGCAGCACAGUAAGAGCUUGCUCUUACGGGUGGCGAGUGGCGGACGGGUGAGGCAUACAUCGGAAUCUACUUUUUCGUGGGGGAUAACGUAGGGAAACUUACGCUAAUACCGCAUACGACCUACGGGUGAAAGCAGGGGAUCUUCGGACCUUGCGCGAUUGAAUGAGCCGAUGUCGGAUUAGCUAGUUGGCGGGGUAAAGGCCCACCAAGGCGACGAUGCGUAGCUGGUCUGAGAGGAUGAUCAGCCACACUGGAACUGAGACACGGUCCAGACUCCUACGGGAGGCAGCAGUGGGGAAUAUUGGACAAUGGGCGCAAGCCUGAUCCAGCCAUACCGCGUGGGUGAAGAAGGCCUUCGGGUUGUAAAGCCCUUUUGUUGGGAAAGAAAAGCAGCAGGUUAAUACCCCGCUGUUCUGACGGUACCCAAAGAAUAAGCACCGGCUAACUUCGUG